This 253-nucleotide ribosomal RNA is filed under the name uncultured bacterium. RNAcentral's name for it is "partial 16S ribosomal RNA". It matches the Rfam family "Bacterial small subunit ribosomal RNA", at positions 524 to 776 of the family's 1533-position model. The record is from RNAcentral.
UACAGAGGUCUCAAGCGUUGUUCGGAUUCAUUGGGCGUAAAGGGUGCGUAGGCGGCGUGGUAAGUCGGGUGUGAAAUCUCGGGGCUUAACUCCGAAACUGCAUUCGAUACUGCCGUGCUUGAGGACUGGAGAGGAGACUGGAAUUUACGGUGUAGCGGUGAAAUGCGUAGAUAUCGUAAGGAAGACCAGUGGCGAAGGCGGGUCUCUGGACAGUUCCUGACGCUGAGGCACGAAGGUCAGGGGAGCAAACGGG